Molecule: long non-coding RNA, 898 nt
Organism: Dalotia coriaria
Lineage: Eukaryota; Metazoa; Arthropoda; Insecta; Coleoptera; Staphylinidae
Exons: 2
Source: RefSeq, a predicted model, not a curated record
CAAGACCAACAACUAACAGCAAAUUGACAUGAUAAACAUAAACAACUUGUUUGACACAAGAUUUGCUAUGGUACCAAACUGUCUGAUCAAAGUGAUUGAAAUUGCAAAGGAAAGACAUUACUUCGGGGAACGAUGAUUGAACGAUCAAAAGUCAACAAAAGUAACUCUUUGCUCAUAUGAUUUCAUCUAUUUAUUUUAGAUUUGAAAGAAAAAUAACUGGUUAAAAUAUGUUUAUGCUGUCUACAGAAUGCGUGUAGUGUAUUUCCACUAAAACACACCAGUUUCUGUUUGGUGGUGAAAUUUAUUCGUCCUUCGCAACGCUUGGAAGAUUUCAUUCAACAUAAUAAUGGGUGUUAAUGUCUAGGCCGCUAGAAGUAAAUUACGAUUGAUGGAGACACACACAAUUUCUCUUUGAUGAUACGACGAAAAGUCGGAAGUGAAACAUUUGGAGAAUUGAGAAUAAGGACAAAACUAGAAACGAAACCAGAAAAAUACACUUAGAAGCCGCCAAAACCAAGAAUAUACUUAUUGUCUAAAUGCGCGCAUCUAGGCAAACAACAGAAAAUGCCAACAAAUUGGAAUAAACAACGAGUGCCCUCACCGCACCAACUAAGCUUUUAUAGAGACAAACUUCGUAAAUAGAAAAGUACAGAACGUAUCGCAUACAGAUAAAUGAUAAAUCUGAACCAAGAAUAUCAAGAAAUAAAAUACUACACAUUCAUUUAAAAUUUAUCUUUGACAAUAAUAGGGAGGUUUUAUUGACGUGGACUUAUCUUUCGCUUUGAAUCACCUCGGAAGCAAGUUGAAAGCGAGGGUGGAAAGCAAAUUAAAGAUAAACAGAUAAUCACAGGUGUACAUGAACGCAAAUACCUUUAAUAAAGCCGUCAGUUUAUAUUUC